RNAcentral lists this ribosomal RNA (450 nucleotides) under uncultured bacterium. RNAcentral describes it as "partial 16S ribosomal RNA". It matches the Rfam family "Bacterial small subunit ribosomal RNA", at positions 354 to 796 of the family's 1533-position model. The record is from RNAcentral.
GUGGGGAAUAUUGGACAAUGGGCGCAAGCCUGAUCCAGCCAUACCGCGUGGGUGAAGAAGGCCUUCGGGUUGUAAAGCCCUUUUGUUGGGAAAGAAAUCCUGUCGGUUAAUACCUGGCGGGGAUGACGGUACCCAAAGAAUAAGCACCGGCUAACUUCGUGCCAGCAGCCGCGGUAAUACGAAGGGUGCAAGCGUUACUCGGAAUUACUGGGCGUAAAGCGUGCGUAGGUGGUGGGUUAAGUCCGUUGUGAAAGCCCUGGGCUCAACCUGGGAAUUGCAGUGGAUACUGGAUCACUAGAGUGUGGUAGAGGGAUGCGGAAUUUCUGGUGUAGCAGUGAAAUGCGUAGAGAUCAGAAGGAACAUCCGUGGCGAAGGCGGCAUCCUGGGCCAACACUGACACUGAGGCACGAAAGCGUGGGGAGCAAACAGGAUUAGAAACCCGUGUAGUCC